Molecule: long non-coding RNA, 610 nt
Organism: Nicotiana tabacum (common tobacco)
Lineage: Eukaryota; Viridiplantae; Streptophyta; Magnoliopsida; Solanales; Solanaceae
Source: RefSeq, a predicted model, not a curated record
AUCUAUCUAUUGUCUAUUGUAUCUAUUAUCUAUUACUAUUUAUUAUCUAUUACUUUUGUAUAUAAUUACUAAUAAAUUUUUAUUUUUGGGAAAAAGCUAGAAGCUGCCAAGUAUUUAGGUUUUAGGAGUGUUUAGAUUUUUCUUUGCUUAGGAUUAGGUUUCUUCACACUUUUCCUUAGGUUUAGGAUUAAUUCUUUAUGUUUUUCUUUCUUUAGGAUUGUGCCUUUACUUUGUUUAGGUAUCCAACAACCUUAUGGAAGAAGCAAGCAGUUAGCAUUGUCCGUACGCAAAACAAUUUGAAAGAUUUCAGAUUUUCGUAUGAUCCUGAUCUGCAGCUUUUUGAUGCUUCUCAGAAGUUCAACAUGAAUGGGUGCACAACAAUCACCGGAGAGAUGGUUCACUAAUAGACCGAGGGAUAAGUCAUUCAACUCCCGCAAUAUUCCUUAUGAAUGGGUGUACAGUGACGAAUUCAAAAAAUAUUAAAAUGUUAUAUUUCGGAUUUUAACCUGUGAUCUAAAAUAAUUUUUGAAACCGUUGGUUCUAUACUAAAAUCUUCUCUUAUGUUAAGGGAUUCAACAGUUGAUAUAUAACUAAAAAAAAUUUGUUUUUA